GGAUGCUGAGGGCAAUCUGGCUGCAACAUCUGCCACGUCAUUGAUCACCAGGGUUGAUCUGGCAGAUCUGGUUGGUGAGGCGAGUGUCCCUUUCUUCCCUCACAGUUCCCUGUGUGUCCCUGUCCCUCAUAUGCAGAGAAGAGUCACUUCCGGCAAAGGAAGACAUUUCUCAGUCAAGGGUAUUCGGAAGCAGCUGCACUGCCUUAUUAGAACCUCCAAACAAGCUGUCAAAUUAAUGGAGGUAGUUGGAUCUUGGGACAGAAGUAAAGGCCUAUAGUUAGUCAAACCUAG
Unclassified non-coding RNA from Cavia porcellus (domestic guinea pig), 291 nucleotides. Its record names the gene 7SK. It matches the Rfam family "7SK RNA". From Rfam's summary of the family: 7SK was discovered as an abundant small nuclear RNA in the mid-70s but a possible function has only recently been suggested. NCBI's taxonomy places the organism in Eukaryota, Metazoa, Chordata, Mammalia, Rodentia, Caviidae. The record is from Ensembl.